CUGGGGUUCCUUUAAAUUACAAAACACAGUCUCAUUUCAACAAUUAGUCCCAUUUGUCCAAGUUUCUAACUUCCGUUGAAACUGCAAGCUACUCCCUCCUCCUCCGAUCCUGCUCCGUGAGGCCCGGUGACUCCUGGGAAGUUGUGCUCCACAAUCCCACAGUAUUUUGGGUGGCCCGUAUGGGGACAACGGGGUGACUCCAAGAGCAUCAGUGCAACUUGAUACAAGCAAGCAAUUCCUGACUCCUUCACCCAGCUGACAGCUUACUACUGCCCAGAUGUUCACUGUGGACUCUACAGCAGUGGCCUUCUGUAAUCUACUUGUAGAAACAGAUAGUGACCAAUUUCAGUCUAUAGGGACAUCUCUACAACCAUCUUUUUCUGUCAGCUUGAAGAAGUUCAGAAGAUGAGCCCUUCACCCUUCAACAACCUUAAAGAUUUAAGGACCAAAAUUGUUAAGGGGAGAAAUGAGGGAUAGAAGCAGAAAAAUGUUCACCUUUAGGCCAGUAGGCUCACCUACAGCCUGCAUAGUUUUGAUAAGGAUCAAAUACAUGCUGGUUGCUACAUUCUUAAAGGGUUUCAUGACUGCCUGUACAUCUCACCAUUAGUUAAUAUUGAGCUGAAUGAUAAGUACCAGAGAAAUCUUGGGAAAGUAGUUUUAGGAGUAGAAAUUUAAAGAAAACAUUUAUUAAAAAAAAAUUUUUUUUAAUCUUUAUUUUUGAGACACACACACACAC
This is a long non-coding RNA of Herpailurus yagouaroundi (jaguarundi), 736 nucleotides long. RefSeq lists it as uncharacterized. The record is from RefSeq and is a predicted model, not a curated record. The transcript has 3 exons. NCBI's taxonomy places the organism in Eukaryota, Metazoa, Chordata, Mammalia, Carnivora, Felidae.